RNAcentral lists this ribosomal RNA (497 nucleotides) under uncultured bacterium. RNAcentral describes it as "partial 16S ribosomal RNA". It matches the Rfam family "Bacterial small subunit ribosomal RNA", at positions 28 to 507 of the family's 1533-position model. The record is from RNAcentral.
GAUGAACGCUGGCGGCGUGCCUAAUACAUGCAAGUCGAGCGAACAGACGAGGAGCUUGCUCCUCUGACGUUAGCGGCGGACGGGUGAGUAACACGUGGAUAACCUACCUAUAAGACUGGGAUAACUUCGGGAAACCGGAGCUAAUACCGGAUAAUAUAUUGAACCGCAUGGUUCAAUAGUGAAAGACGGUUUUGCUGUCACUUAUAGAUGGAUCCGCGCCGCAUUAGCUAGUUGGUAAGGUAACGGCUUACCAAGGCAACGAUGCGUAGCCGACCUGAGAGGGUGAUCGGCCACACUGGAACUGAGACACGGUCCAGACUCCUACGGGGGGCAGCAGUAGGGAAUCUUCCGCAAUGGGGGAAAGCCUGACGGAGCAACGCCGCGUGAGUGAUGAAGGUCUUCGGAUCGUAAAACUCUGUUAUUAGGGAAGAACAAAUGUGUAAGUAACUAUGCACGUCUUGACGGUACCUAAUCAGAAAGCCACGGCUAACUACGUG